UUGAGAUUACCAGGUGGGGUAUGUGUGGU
Molecule: non-coding RNA, 29 nt
Filed under: Homo sapiens (human)
Lineage: Eukaryota; Metazoa; Chordata; Mammalia; Primates; Hominidae
Source: RNAcentral